CCCUUAGAUGUUCUGGGCCGCACGCGCGCUACACUGACGAAUGCAACGAGCUUAUAACCUUGGCCGAAAGGUCUGGGUAAUCUCCAAAUUUCGUCGUGAUGGGGAUAGAUUAUUGCAAUUAUUAAUCUUCAACGAGGAAUGCCUAGUAAGCGCAAGUCAUCAGCUUGCGUUGAUUACGUCCCUGCCCUUUGUACACACCGCCCAUCGCUCCUACCGAUUGAAUGGUCCGGUGAAGCGUUCGGACCGUGGCCUUUGGACGGUUCGCCGUCUGUUGGCUGCGGGAAGUUCGUUAAACCUUAUCAUUUAGAGGAAGGAGAAGUCGUANCA
RNAcentral lists this ribosomal RNA (327 nucleotides) under uncultured eukaryote. Its description in RNAcentral is "partial 18S ribosomal RNA". It matches the Rfam family "Eukaryotic small subunit ribosomal RNA", at positions 1470 to 1796 of the family's 1831-position model. The record is from RNAcentral.